GGGUCCGUAGCUCAGUUGGUAGAGCGUCUGUUUUGCACACAGAAGGUAAUCGGUUCGAUCCCGAUCGGAUCCA
Molecule: non-coding RNA, 73 nt
Organism: Mycoplasmataceae bacterium CE_OT135
Lineage: Bacteria; Bacillati; Mycoplasmatota; Mollicutes; Mycoplasmatales; Mycoplasmataceae
Source: Rfam